GCUCCUUGCUGACUUUUCAUGUAGGCUGUCUCCCCCAUCCCUCACUUCCAUAGGCGUGCGCACGGGGUGUGUCGGGUGUGCCUUGGCACACCCUAAUCCCCGCGGCACGCCAAUGGAUUGAGACUGUCAGGGGAGAUCUCUGGAUCUCCCCGGUCGGCUCAUGCAGAGCCGACGCUAUCCGAGCGGCGGCUCUGGUCUAAGCCUCCAUGGG
This 211-nucleotide long non-coding RNA is filed under the name Pelobates cultripes (western spadefoot toad). Lineage: Eukaryota; Metazoa; Chordata; Amphibia; Anura; Pelobatidae. The record is from RNAcentral.